CGGGUGCGUAACGCGUAUGCAACCUACCUUCUUCAGGGGGAUAGCCUCUCGAAAGAGAGAUUAAGACCGCAUAAUAUGUUGAAACGGCAUCGUUUUAACAUCAAAUAUUUAUAGGAAGAAGAUGGGCAUGCGUGACAUUAGUUAGUUGGCGAGGUAACGGCUCACCAAGACAACGAUGUCUAGGGGAUCUGAGAGGAUGACCCCCCACACUGGUACUGAGAUACGGACCAG
Molecule: ribosomal RNA, 231 nt
Filed under: uncultured bacterium
Lineage: Bacteria
Description: partial 16S ribosomal RNA
Rfam family: Bacterial small subunit ribosomal RNA
Source: RNAcentral